Beta vulgaris subsp. vulgaris (sugar beet) is the source of this 1762-nucleotide long non-coding RNA. RefSeq lists it as uncharacterized. Lineage: Eukaryota; Viridiplantae; Streptophyta; Magnoliopsida; Caryophyllales; Amaranthaceae. The transcript is spliced from 2 exons. The record is from RefSeq and is a predicted model, not a curated record.
AGAUUUAUUGCAGCAGUGAACCUAUUUCGUUCAGCUGCUUUAGAACUUCCCGAAUGGUGUAGGCUCUCUGCAAGUCAGGUUGAUGGUUGGUGAUGAUGAGUGAUGACUGAUGAGGAACUUCUAUUCUUGUAUAGAAUCCGCAUUGUAUGCCAAUUUCAACUAAACAAUCUGACAAUUAUAUACACCUCAGUCAGUUUGAGUCUCAUGAAACCAGCCAUUUUUGGCAGGUUUAAACCCUAAUUGUAUCUGUGCACCUAUGACCUACCCAAUCAUCACAAACAGCCGAAAUGCAGAACAUAGCUUUCAGGAGAGAAAUGCAUCAGGAUCUUUGUCUAACCUAUUUUAUUCUAGGACCUAAACACAAAACAACAGAGGCUGUGGAUUCUAUGGGUACCAUUUCAAGAAACUUCAUAACUGCUAGCCUGUUCCGGUAUGGGGAUGAUGGUAUGUUAGUUCAGACUGUAUGCAAUCUUGUCUGGAAAGCAGAUAAGGCAGGCUGCAAAUGCCGAACACGUUAGCUACCCUCGAAGGUUUGUUGAGAAAAAAAACCCCUAUGAUGCUAAACUCAUUAUAUAAACUGGUACUUUUGUUUGUGCUUGGGUGGUAAAAAGUACCCCAAGUAGCACCUGAAGGGGUAUUUGUGGUGACUCCUUGAGUUCUCAUUGGAUACGCACACGUGGAGUUCGAAGCUGUAAUAAUAGGGAGGUUAAGAUAUGUGACCUGAUGACCCACGUACUGAUGGUCUGUGUUGCUUCAUGCUAUCGUUGUUGCCAGCUGGAUAAUGAUAGCUUCCGGGGUUUACAUCAUUUAGGCACUUGACCAACACCCAUACAAAUCGUCAGCAGUUCGCCUACUCCGAAACACACAAAAACUUUUCACUCACGCUGUAAGUAAUCUCAGCAAAGGGGAGUUCUCAGAAGUCAGAAGUAUAGCCUUCUCUAAUUUUCUCUAACCGCUCAGUACUUACAUGUAGAGAUGUGAUCACCCUGCAAGCUAGACACUGAGCAUCCUACGGACUACAUGGUCCGGCAACAGAUGUUUUGAUUACAUAUUGCAAGCCUCCACGGCUGCACCAAAAGGACAAGUUGCACCUUUGCACAACGGAUGUUAGUACUCCCUUUGUCCCUCUAAGAUUGCCCCAUUAGAGGAACCAAGUAUAACAUACAAGUCGAUCCAAGCAAGACUAAGUUACACUAGUCUUUGAGAUUCAGACAUUAAGGCUCCGUUUGUUUGGUGUAAAAUAUUUCCAGUGUAAAAUGUUUUGCAUGGAAAACAAUUUACAUGGAAAACACAAUUCCGAAAUUAGUUUUCCGUUGUUUGGUUUCAUGUAAGAGAAAUGGUGAAACGAAAGGAAAAUGAAAGGGAGAGGUAUUAAAAGGAGUGUACAAGAGAGAUAAGGAAAAGGAAUGAAAACAGUUUUCCCUCAUUUUGAAGGGAAAAUGGUUUUUCAUCAUUGGUAGAAUAAUUUUACUUCUAGGAAAAAGGGUUUUACGCUCCUUUGCAAACCAAACGAUGUAAAAAUUGAAAAUACAGGAGCUGAAAAAUGUAUUACGCCCUACGAAACAGAGCCUAUGUGGCCUUAUGUUUUGUAAUUGAACCUCAUUAUUGUUUAAAUAGCGGCUUUGUAACAUAGUCUUUGUAAUUAAAUCUCAUGAUUAUUUAGAUAGGGGCUCAUUUGAUUACAGUGAAAUUGUACUCAAACAUGCAACAUGAACAUACAUGCAAUUUUUCUAUUUACACCUGAUUAUACUUUUAUGGGUAA